GGAGUUUGAAAAUUUUAAGAGUUAAUAGAUUUUUAAAAGUUAAGUAGAUUUGAUGAAUUCUUACCCAAUGUAUUGUAUAAAUUGUCAUUGAUUAUUAUAGAUUUUCAUAUAUACUUUUCUUUCCAAACUUAUCUUUCUAUUAUUUUGUUUUAAAAAGAAUUUCUUUCAUAAAAUAGAACUAUUUGAAAAUUAAAUAAAA
RNAcentral lists this long non-coding RNA (199 nucleotides) under Brassica rapa (field mustard). RNAcentral describes it as "long non-coding RNA (BRAP_LNC002381)". Lineage: Eukaryota; Viridiplantae; Streptophyta; Magnoliopsida; Brassicales; Brassicaceae. The record is from RNAcentral.